RNAcentral lists this ribosomal RNA (169 nucleotides) under uncultured bacterium. RNAcentral's name for it is "partial 16S ribosomal RNA". It matches the Rfam family "Bacterial small subunit ribosomal RNA", at positions 338 to 524 of the family's 1533-position model. The record is from RNAcentral.
CCUACGGGAGGCAGCAGCAGGGAAUAUUGCGCAAUGGGCGAAAGCCUGACGCAGCGACGCCGCGUGGGGGAUGAAGGCCCUCGGGUUGUAAACCCCUUUCAGGAGGGAAGAAAAUGACGGUACCUCCAAAAGAAGCCCCGGCCAACUACGUGCCAGCAGCCGCGGUAAU